Molecule: long non-coding RNA, 2097 nt
Organism: Sorex araneus (European shrew)
Lineage: Eukaryota; Metazoa; Chordata; Mammalia; Eulipotyphla; Soricidae
Exons: 2
Source: RefSeq, a predicted model, not a curated record
AGAAUUCCUGUUCUAGGCAGCACUCACUAGCUGGAGUAAGUCCUCCCAUAACAUGUAAGAAUAAUUAGCAUGGAGAGAUUGAGCCAUAUACCCUUGGACCACUUGGGAAGGCCACAUCCAGCGGUGCUCAGGGAUCACUCCUGGUGGUGCUCAGCAUAUGUGGUGCCAGGGAUCGAAAUGAAGUCAGCCGCGUGCAAGGCAAGCAUCCUACUAACUGUGCUGUUUCUCUGGCCUCUGUUUUUAUAUUUUAAUCUUUUUUUUUUUUUGGCCUAGAAUGAAACUUUAUUUAAACGUGGUGAUUCAUGAAAUUGUUCACAAUACAGUUGUUUCGGGUAUUCAGUAUUCCAACACCAGUCCUACCAGCAAUGUGUCUUUUUCCACCAACAUCCCCAGUUUCCUACCCACUCCCCAAGCAGGCACAAAAUAAUUUACUUUAUAUUGCUUGUUAUAAAUAUCGUAAUGGAGUUGCUAAAGUCAUGUUCUGAGGAUUUACUGAGAUGUUAGGUGCAAGUUGAGCUUUCUGUGUUAUUGUUUUCACUCUUGAGUUUAGUGGGCUUCUCAGUUUCUCCAUAUAAUUUUCUGUGCUUUUACUGAGCUGUCAGCUCUGUGAAAUUUGGAGGUGUUGCAUGACUACAUAUGCGGUUGCACGCUUCAGGGGCUGUGGAGCUGGGACGAUCAGUUGCAGGUGUCUUUCUGGCAUCUCUCCGAGAUCAGUCCUGAACGUAGGAUUGUUUCUUUUUUUUUUUUUUUUUUUUGCUUUUUGGGUCACACCUGGCAAUGCACAGGGGUCAUUCCUGGCUCAUGCACUCAGGAAUUACCCCUGGCGGUGCUCAGGGGACCAUUUGGGAUGCUGGGAUUCGAACCCAGGUCGGCCGUGUGCAAGGCAAACGCCCUACCUGCUGUGCUAUCACUCCAGCCCAAGGAUUGUUUCUUUGGCAGCGGUGGGAACUGGAUGUGGGUGGAGUGCUGGACGUUUGGUAGGGCAGGAACUUGGUCUGCCCCCAUCCUGCUAAGGCUCUGAAGAUCUGGGCCUGGUGGCGGCAGUGCUCACCUAGAAUAACUGAGCUGCUGGCGUUUUUCCGAGAUCAGUCCUGUAGCUGUUACUGCUCUUUCCUUCUGUAGAAUUUCUGGUAUAAAAACUACUACUACAGAUUGCUUAUUAAAGGUAUUUUUAAAAUAAGGAAUUGUGGAUUAAAGCAAUAGAACUGACACCUUAUUCUAUCUGGUAGUUGAUGUGUCGAUUUAAAAGCAAUACUCUUGGCCGGAAAGAUAGUUCAAAGAGCCUAAGAGAAUGCUUUGCAAUGGGGAGGCCUGGGUUGAUUUCAGUCAUAGCAUGGUCCCUUGACCACUUACCAAGAGCACCCCCUAUCACUGAGUCAGGAGUAGUUCUAAGCACUGCUAAGAAAAAAAGCACUCCUACCAUACUACCACACUUUGUAUUGUUUUUUUAUUUGUUUGUUUGUUUUUGAAUCACACCUAACAAUGCUCAGGGCUUACUCCAGGCUCUGCAUUCAGGAAUCACUCCUGGUGGACUCUGGGUACCAUAUGUGGUACUUGGGAUUGAGCCCAUUCAGCUGUGUGCAAGGCAAGCCCCUAACUAUCUCUCUGGCCCUACUUUGUAUUCUGAACUGAAGGGAGUUAUCAGAUGAAUUAAAAAAACCAAGGCUAUACUGUAAAUAAAAUUACCUAUUGCACUUCAGUAAUGUCAAUGUCAGAUUCCCUGGCACCACCAGGAGUCACUUCUAAGCAGAGCAAUGAAUAGGCCCUGAACACGGCAAGGUGUUCCCCAAAAUAAAAUAUUUAAAAAAAUAUCUGACAACUGAAUGCCAUGUGGUAUUUUUGUUGUGGUACCAGGGAUAGUGCCUGGUGUACUUUUUACACUUUUGGUGGGUGUUGGGGGUGUGACACUUUUUUGUGAUGGUGUCUUGGGGUGGCAUUAGGUAUUGUUGGGUGGUGCUAGGUAGUACCAAUGUUAAACUCAGUCUCAUACAUGUUAGGCAAACUACCGCUGAGCUGUAUACUUCAAGGCCCAUAUGUGAUUUUGUUGGAUAAAAGUUGCUGUGACAAAUUGUUAAUUAAAUCUAAGUGAAAGAUAUA